RNAcentral lists this ribosomal RNA (600 nucleotides) under Triticum aestivum (bread wheat). RNAcentral describes it as "partial small subunit ribosomal RNA". Lineage: Eukaryota; Viridiplantae; Streptophyta; Magnoliopsida; Poales; Poaceae. The record is from RNAcentral.
AUGGCGGUGCUGACAACAACUUCAAGAUCGACAUUCGUGAUGAGUUCCUGUCUAAAGCGACUGUGCCAUGCAAUGCAAGAGUCUACGAUCAAUGGCGUUACCACCGACUACAUGUGUUUUGAAGCGCAUGGACGCAAGUACUCUGUCGACAUUGUGAAGGGGGCACACAGGACCAGAAUCAAGGGGAGUGGCUGGAAGAAAUUCACUUCUGAAUUUUCUCUUCAGAAGGGUGCUGUGGUCAUUUUUGACUUGGACAGGCGUCCCCGCCAGGCACAUGUUGUUGUUCAAAGUGAUGACUUGGACAUAGUUGAAGGAAGCUCUUCAGACGGGGAUGCUGAUGAAGAGAUGAUAGAUGGAGACAUCACAGAUGUGGAUGAAGAUGGUGGCAGCAUAAAGAUCGAGUAUACAAGGGGUCUAACUCUGAAUGAUGCACAACAGGACAUUCUCAAUGAACUGGUGCUCAACUUCAAGUCCAAGUUUUUAGGAGUAUCUUUUCUACACUGUCUUACUACAACUGACACUCAAGUUGGACAAAUGCUAUUCUUUGUUGUGGAUACAGAAAGUACCAGUGAGGGUUGCUACAAGCUUAAACAUCCCUAA